Long non-coding RNA from Zea mays, 766 nucleotides. RefSeq lists it as uncharacterized. The transcript has 3 exons. Lineage: Eukaryota; Viridiplantae; Streptophyta; Magnoliopsida; Poales; Poaceae. The record is from RefSeq and is a predicted model, not a curated record.
GAGCACGUCAUCUCUCUAGAAUAUUUCUCAACGCCUUCUUUCUUAUUCUUUAUCCUAUCCACCGUCGUUCUCCUUCAUUCUCAUUUCUUGCACACUGACACCAGCCCCUCCUGCUGGCUGCCCCUUGCUCCCUCCCAUGGGGCUCCCCCUGGAUCCCUCUCCAUGGCGUGGAUCAGCCCCAGCUUCCCAUGGAUGUCGCCCUCCUCUCCCUGAUGGCUGGCGUCUCCACUCCCUGCAGCAAGGACGCUUUCCUCUGCUCCCUGCUCUUCCUCCCAUGGCCCCCCAUGUAGCAGUAACCAUGGAAACCCCUCUGGGACGCGCCCUCAGCAUGCUCAAUGAUAUGCUGCAGCGAGCUCCACCUUGAUCUAUGCCAACCCGGCCGCAAAUCAUCGAACCUUGGGGAACCCUUGGGACCGAUGGUGAAGAGGUGAAGCCCAUCCAACGUUUGUUAAAUGUUCGAUAGAAGGUUCGAACCAAAAGUCAUCGUCGAUCUUGUGAUUUAGAGUUUGGUUUAGUUAUUGUGAUCUCCUUCGCAAUCCAUGUUAAUUAACUUGUAUGGUGGGAUGGAAUAGAUGUAUUGGUUGUGAUGGUCAUCUUGUUUAUGUUCAUGUUGUUAUGGAGGUGUCAGAUAAUUGAUGAAAUGUCGUAGUUGGGUGCAAAAACAUGAUUGUGGUAGUUUGACCUUUGUGAUUUGUAUUCUUGCAAAGGGACUUGACUUUGAAAUAUUGCAAAUAUGAAUAAGGUAUUCCUGACAUGAUUUUAGCCA